AGAGCGAACGCUGGCGGCAGGCUUAACACAUGCAAGUCGAGCGGGCGUAGCAAUACGUCAGCGGCAGACGGGUGAGUAACGCGUGGGAACAUACCUUUUGGUUCGGAACAACACAGGGAAACUUGUGCUAAUACCGGAUAAGCCCUUACGGGGAAAGAUUUAUCGCCGAAAGAUUGGCCCGCGUCUGAUUAGCUAGUUGGUGAGGUAACGGCUCACCAAGGCGACGAUCAGUAGCUGGUCUGAGAGGAUGAUCAGCCACAUUGGGACUGAGACACGGCCCAAACUCCUACGGGAGGCAGCAGUGGGAAUAUUGGACAAUGGGCGCAAGCCUGAUCCAGCCAUGCCGCGUGAGUGAUGAAGGUCUUAGGAUUGUAAAAUUCUUUCAGCGGGGACGAUAAUGACGGUACCCGACAGAAGAACGCCCCGGAUAACGUUCGCGCCAGCAGCCGC
This 450-nucleotide ribosomal RNA is filed under the name uncultured bacterium. Its description in RNAcentral is "SSU rRNA". It matches the Rfam family "Bacterial small subunit ribosomal RNA", at positions 26 to 518 of the family's 1533-position model. The record is from RNAcentral.